Molecule: ribosomal RNA, 490 nt
Filed under: uncultured bacterium
Lineage: Bacteria
Description: partial 16S ribosomal RNA
Rfam family: Bacterial small subunit ribosomal RNA
Source: RNAcentral
AUUGAACGCUGGCGGCAGGCCUAACACAUGCAAGUCGAAUGGUAACAGGAAACAGCUUGCUGUUUCGCUGACGAGUGGCGGACGGGUGAGUAAUGUCUGGGAAACUGCCUGAUGGAGGGGGAUAACUACUGGAAACGGUAGCUAAUACCGCAUAACGUCGCAAGACCAAAGAGGGGGACCUCCGGGCCUCUGGCAAUCAGAUGGGCCCAGAUGGGAUUAGCUAGUAGGUGGGGUAACGGCUCACCUAGGCGACGAUCCCUAGCUGGUCUGAGAGGAUGACCAGCCACACUGGAACUGAGACACGGUCCAGACUCCUACGGGAGGCAGCAGUGGGGAAUAUUGCACAAUGGGCGCAAGCCUGAUGCAGCCAUGCCGCGUGUAUGAAGAAGGCCUUCGGGUUGUAAAGUACUUUCAGCGGGGAGGAAGGGAGUAAAGUUAAUACCUUUGCUCAUUGACGUUACCCGCAGAAGAAGCACCGGCUAACUCCGUG